RNAcentral lists this ribosomal RNA (468 nucleotides) under uncultured bacterium. RNAcentral describes it as "partial 16S ribosomal RNA". It matches the Rfam family "Bacterial small subunit ribosomal RNA", at positions 28 to 507 of the family's 1533-position model. The record is from RNAcentral.
GACGAACGCUGGCGGCGUGCUUAACACAUGCAAGUCGAACGGAAAGGCCCUGCUUUUGUGGGGUGCUCGAGUGGCGAACGGGUGCGUAACACGUGAGUAACCUGCCCUUGACUUUGGGAUAACUUCAGGAAACUGGGGCUAAUACCGGAUAGGAGCUCCUGCUCCAUGGAGGGGGUUGGAAAGUUUCGGCGGUUGGGGAUGGACUCGCGGCUUAUCAGCUUGUUGGUGGGGUAGUGGCUUACCAAGGCUUUGACGGGUAGCCGGCCUGAGAGGGUGACCGGCCACAUUGGGACUGAGAUACGGCCCAGACUCCUACGGGAGGCAGCAGGGGGGAAUAUUGCACAAUGGGCGGAAGCCUGAUGCAGAAACGCCGCGUGCGGGAUGACGGCCUUCGGGUUGUAAACCGCUUUCGCCUGUGACGAAGCGUGAGUGACGGUAAUGGGUAAAGAAGCACCGGCUAACUACGUG